CCUACGGGAGGCAGCAGUGGGGAAUAUUGCACAAUGGGGGAAACCCUGAUGCAGCGACGCCGCGUGAGCGAAGAAGUAUUUCGGUAUGUAAAGCUCUAUCAGCAGGGAAGAAAAUGACGGUACCUGAGUCAGAAGCUCCGUCUAAAUACGUGCCAGCAGCCGCGGUAAUACGUAUGGAGCAAGCGUUAUACGGAUUUACUGGGCGUAAAGGGCGCGUAGGCGGCCUGCCAAGUCUGAUGUGAAAUACCGGGGGCCAACCCCGGGGCUGCAUUGGAAACUGGCAGGCUGGAGUGCCGGAGAGGCAGGCGGAAUGCCUAGGGUAGCGGUGAAAUGCGUAGAUAUUAGGAGGAACACCAGUGGCGAAGGCGGCCUGCUGGACGGUGACUGACGCUGAGGCUCGAAAGCGUGGGGAGCAAACAGGAUUAGAUACCCCUGUAGUC
RNAcentral lists this ribosomal RNA (440 nucleotides) under uncultured bacterium. RNAcentral describes it as "partial 16S ribosomal RNA". It matches the Rfam family "Bacterial small subunit ribosomal RNA", at positions 338 to 795 of the family's 1533-position model. The record is from RNAcentral.